This 101-nucleotide microRNA precursor is filed under the name Hordeum vulgare. Its description in RNAcentral is "microRNA MIR1122". It matches the Rfam family "MIR1120/MIR1122 microRNA precursor family". The record is from RNAcentral. Lineage: Eukaryota; Viridiplantae; Streptophyta; Magnoliopsida; Poales; Poaceae.
UAAGUACUCCCUUCGUCCCAAAAUUCUUUUCUUAGAUUUGUCUAGAUAUGAAUUUUCUAGACAAACCUAAAACAAGAAUUUUGGGAUGGAGGGAGUAAUAA